GAUGAACGCUGGCGGCGUGCCUAAUACAUGCAAGUCGAACGCUUCACUUCGGUGAAGAGUGGCGAACGGGUGAGUAAUACAUAAGUAACCUGGCAUCUACAGGGGGAUAACUGAUGGAAACGUCAGCUAAGACCGCAUAGGUGUAGAGAUCGCAUGAACUCUAUAUGAAAAGUGCUACGGGACUGGUAGAUGAUGGACUUAUGGCGCAUUAGCUUGUUGGUAGGGUAACGGCCUACCAAGGCGACGAUGCGUAGCCGACCUGAGAGGGUGACCGGCCACACUGGGACUGAGACACGGCCCAGACUCCUACGGGAGGCAGCAGUAGGGAAUUUUCGGCAAUGGGGGAAACCCUGACCGAGCAACGCCGCGUGAAGGAAGAAGUAAUUCGUUAUGUAAACUUCUGUCAUAGAGGAAGAACGGUGGAUAUAGGGAAUGAUAUCCAAGUGACGGUACUCUAUAAGAAAGC
This 466-nucleotide ribosomal RNA is filed under the name uncultured bacterium. RNAcentral describes it as "bacterial SSU rRNA". It matches the Rfam family "Bacterial small subunit ribosomal RNA", at positions 28 to 491 of the family's 1533-position model. The record is from RNAcentral.